UACGAAGGGGGCUAGCGUUGCUCGGAUUUACUGGGCGUAAAGGGCGCGUAGGCGGACAUUUAAGUCAGGGGUGAAAUCCCAGAGCUCAACUCUGGAACUGCCUUUGAUACUGGGUGUCUUGAGUGUGAGAGGGGUAUGUGGAACUCCGAGUGUAGAGGUGAAAUUCGUAGAUAUUCGGAAGAACACCAGUGGCGAAGGCGACAUACUGGCUCAUUACUGACGCUGAGGCGCGAAAGCGUGGGGAGCAAACAGG
RNAcentral lists this ribosomal RNA (253 nucleotides) under uncultured bacterium. RNAcentral's name for it is "partial 16S ribosomal RNA". It matches the Rfam family "Bacterial small subunit ribosomal RNA", at positions 524 to 776 of the family's 1533-position model. The record is from RNAcentral.